CUACGGGUGGCACCAGUGGGGAAUAUUGCGCAAUGGGGGAAACCCUGACGCAGCGACGCCGCGUGCGGGAUGAAGGCCCUCGGGUCGUAAACCGCUUUCAGCGGGGAAGAUGAUGACUGUACCCGCAGAAGAAGCCCCGGCUAACUACGUGCCAGCAGCCGCGGUAAUACGUAGGGGGCGAGCGUUAUCCGGAUUCAUUGGGCGUAAAGCGCGCGUAGGCGGCCCGGUCAGUCGGGGGUCCAAUGGCGGGGCUCAACCCCGUCCCGCCCCCGAUACUGCCGGGCUCGAGUCCUGCAGGGGAUGGCGGAACUCCCGGUGUAGCGGUGGAAUGCGCAGAUAUCGGGAGGAACACCGGUGGCGAAGGCGGCCAUCUGGGCAGGCACUGACGCUGAGGCGCGAAAGCUGGGGGAGCGAACAGGAUUAGAUACCCUUGUAGUC
Molecule: ribosomal RNA, 438 nt
Filed under: uncultured bacterium
Lineage: Bacteria
Description: partial 16S ribosomal RNA
Rfam family: Bacterial small subunit ribosomal RNA
Source: RNAcentral